GAGAGGCCCCUCUCUGGCUCGGAGCCUGGCCUGGGUCGGGUCUCUGCAGUCCCGGCUUCUCCCUCCCAACCGGAAAGUCUCGCCCAGCAGUGCAGCAGGCGUGUGCUCCCAGUUCGGGAAUCAGCCGGGCUGGACUUCGGGGCAGCCCAGGACAUUUUGCCUGUGGUGCGCGUUUUCCCGGAGGUUUCUUGGGAGUUACCGAAGGUUCUAUCCUGCUGGCUUCAGCCAAGACUUCUUGGGGCACACCUGGCCCCGGCCCUGGCCCAGUGGACAGCUGGCUCCACACACCCUCUUCUGUCUAUCCCAAGAGGGCAUUGCAGACUUCUGGGUGUAAACCUCUGCUCCACCACUUAAUAUCAUUUUAACAUAAUCAUUGAAUUGUAUUGUGCCUUGGUUUCCUCAUCUGAACAAUGGGUUCACAGCAAGUGUGCACGGUUUUGUGGUUUAAAUGUGCUCUUCCUCAUCAAGCCCAGGGCUGUGAUUCUGGCCAGUGCUUGGCAAGUGUGGGCCUCUGGCAUGAAAGGGAAAUUGGAGACUAUGUUUCACAGGUGGGUGACCUGAGUCAGGGAAAGGCGGCAAUUUGCUGCAGGUCCCACAACUUCACCGGUGACCUGGACUCCUGCCUGGCUCGCAGCUUCAAUCCUCUCACCUGCCUGUGGCCCAGGUGGGCACCACCAGCCACCAGUUCGGCACAGACAUUUACUAGGAGGUUCUCAUUUCACUGUUUUUUAUUAUUCUAUUUGGUUUCAUUCACAUCAAGACCUUCAAGAGCCUCAGGGAGGAAACCACAGAGAUGAUCACAUUACUAUAACUGAAAAUUAAUGGACUGCUGGCAGUUCUAAAAGAAAAACAAAUUAAAGAUUUCAGAUGGGGACAAAGAAUGUCACCCCUUUGCAGUGUAGGUUCCGUACCAUUCUCCACUCCACUGCCAGACCCCGCCCCUCUGUGAGUUGGUCACUGCAAGCCUUGAGAUUGCAGAGAUAGGCGAGGUUGCUGUGGAUGCUGUGAGGCAGCAGGCUACCCUGUCCUUGGAAGGGCCACACCUGUGAUCGGAGCUCUGGGGACUGGGCCCAUGCUCUGGGGGUGGAGGUAGCUCCAGAUCUCCCAAAGUCCGGGCGGGCCUGGUUGAUGAGGCAGCACUCUGACUUAAUUGCUUUACAAUCAGAAAACUGGAGGUUCAGCUUCCACUGGUUGGUUACCCAGUGUCAGAUGUUGGCUCCAUCUGUGGCCCUUCCAAGACUGCCUCCCCUUUUCCUCUCCUCCUUAUCAGUUUUUCAACCUUCAUAGUCCACGUCUUCCAGACAGCCCACGGUGACUAAUCCAGCACAUGGCUCCCACUCUCCAAACUCAUGGCACCUGCACAGUCCUGACCACGAGGCCUGGUGCCGAAACCUACACUGUUCCAGUUGCCACUUGAGUAGAUGCUGCUGGCGCCUGUGCACAUCACCGUGGCCCUCCCGCUUCUGUGCAUGCCAGUGGCCUCUUAAUGCAGGAAGUGGCCACUCCCUCCUGAGGGCAAAUAAACGGCACUGAGGCACCAUUUGGUAAACACGAGACCUGCCGCCAUCAGAAGACCGACAAUACCAAGUGCGGAGAGACGCAGAGUAGCUGGGCCUCACAUGUGGCUUGCAGAAGUGUGAAACGCUUAGCACUUUUUCUUUCAGUCUUGCUCUGUGGCCCAGGCUGGAGUGCAGGGAUACGAUCUCGGCUCACUGCAACCUCUGACUCCUGGGUUCAAGCAAUUAUCUUGCUUCAGCCUCCUGAGAAGCUGGGAUUAUAGGCAUGUGCCACUACCCCCAGCUAAUUUUUGUAUUUUUAGUAGACAGGGUUUUGCCAUGUUGUCCAGGCUGGUCUUGAACUCCUGACCUCAGGUGACCCGCCUGCCUCAGCCUCCCAAAGUGUUGGGAUCACAGGUGUGAGCCACCACAUCUGGCCACUUAGCAUGUUUUAAUAACGUUCCAUACACAUCCAACACCCAGAAAUUUCACUUCUAGGUAAUUACUCAAGAGGAAGAAAAAAUAUGCUACAAAAAGCCCUUUCAAGACAGCUUUAUUCAUACUAACCAAAACAUAGAAACGACCCCAGUGUCCAAAGUGUGAACGAAUGAAGGAAUGUGACGUAUUUUCCAUGGCGUGCUACUUGGCAAUAAAAAGGAACCAGUUACGA
Long non-coding RNA from Callithrix jacchus (white-tufted-ear marmoset), 2166 nucleotides. RefSeq lists it as uncharacterized. Lineage: Eukaryota; Metazoa; Chordata; Mammalia; Primates; Cebidae. The record is from RefSeq and is a predicted model, not a curated record.